This 497-nucleotide ribosomal RNA is filed under the name uncultured bacterium. RNAcentral's name for it is "partial 16S ribosomal RNA". It matches the Rfam family "Bacterial small subunit ribosomal RNA", at positions 28 to 507 of the family's 1533-position model. The record is from RNAcentral.
GAUGAACGCUGGCGGCGUGCCUAAUACAUGCAAGUCGAGCGAACAGACGAGGAGCUUGCUCCUCUGACGUUAGCGGCGGACGGGUGAGUAACACGUGGAUAACCUACCUAUAAGACUGGGAUAACUUCGGGAAACCGGAGCUAAUACCGGAUAAUAUAUUGAACCGCAUGGUUCAAUAGUGAAAGACGGUUUUGCUGUCACUUAUAGAUGGAUCCGCGCCGCAUUAGCUAGUUGGUAAGGUAACAGCUUACCAAGGCAACGAUGCGUAGCCGACCUGAGAGGGGGAUAGGCCACACGGGAACUGAGACACGGUCAAGACUCCUACGGGAGGCAGCAGUAGGGAAUCUUCCGCAAUGGGCGAAAGCAUGACGGAGCAAGGCCGCGUGAGUGAUAAAGGUCUUCGGAUCGUAAAAAUCUGUUAUUAGGGAAGAACAAAUGUGUAAGUAACUAUGCACGUCUUGACGGUACCUAAUCAGAAAGCCACGGCUAACUACGUG